GAAAUGCGAUAAGUAGUGUGAAUUGCAGAAUUCAGUGAAUCAUCGAAUCUUUGAACGCACAUUGCGCCCCUUGGUAUUCCUUAGGGCAUGCCUGUUCGAGCGUCAUCUAAACCUUCAAGCCCUGCUUGGUGUUGGGUGCCUGUCCCGCCUCCGCGCGCGGACUCACCUCAAAUCCAUUGGCGGCCCCCGCGUCGGCCACGAGCGCAGCAGAAACGCGAACUCGUGAGCCCGUCCGGGCGGCUCCCAGAAGCUACACCCACCCAGUUUGACCUCGGAUCAGGUAGGGAUACCCGCUGAACUUAAGC
This 305-nucleotide unclassified non-coding RNA is filed under the name plant metagenome. RNAcentral describes it as "partial contains 5.8S ribosomal RNA, internal transcribed spacer 2, and large subunit ribosomal RNA". The stretch from base 1 to 105 matches the Rfam family "5.8S ribosomal RNA", at positions 50 to 154 of the family's 154-position model. The record is from RNAcentral.